GACGAACGCUGGCGGCGUGCUUAACACAUGCAAGUCGAACGGAAAGGCCCUGCUUUUGUGGGGUGCUCGAGUGGCGAACGGGUGAGUAACACGUGAGUAACCUGCCCUUGACUUUGGGAUAACUUCAGGAAACUGGGGCUAAUACCGGAUAGGAGCUCCUGCUGCAUGGUGGGGGUUGGAAAGUUUCGGCGGUUGGGGAUGGACUCGCGGCUUAUCAGCUUGUUGGUGGGGUAGUGGCUUACCAAGGCUGUGACGGGUAGCCGGCCUGAGAGGGUGACCGGCGACAUUGGGACUGAGGGACGGCGCAGAAUGCUACGGGAGGCAGCAGUGGGGAAUAUUGCACAAUGGGCGGAAGCCUGAUGCAGCAACGCCGCGUGCGGGAUGACGGCCUUCGGGUGGUAAACCGCUUUCGCCUGUGACGAAGCGUGAGUGACGGUAAUGGGUAAAGAAGCACCGGCUAACUACGUG
RNAcentral lists this ribosomal RNA (468 nucleotides) under uncultured bacterium. RNAcentral describes it as "partial 16S ribosomal RNA". It matches the Rfam family "Bacterial small subunit ribosomal RNA", at positions 28 to 507 of the family's 1533-position model. The record is from RNAcentral.